This 69-nucleotide transfer RNA is filed under the name Setaria italica (foxtail millet). Its description in RNAcentral is "tRNA-Arg". RNAcentral also lists the same sequence under 1 other name. Lineage: Eukaryota; Viridiplantae; Streptophyta; Magnoliopsida; Poales; Poaceae. The record is from RNAcentral.
GUCACGAUAGAAUGGUUUCUAUCCGGACCACGAAUCCGGAAAGCGCUGGUUCGAUCCCAGCUCGUGAGA